RNAcentral lists this microRNA (21 nucleotides) under Bos taurus (domestic cattle). Its description in RNAcentral is "bta-miR-11983". Lineage: Eukaryota; Metazoa; Chordata; Mammalia; Artiodactyla; Bovidae. The record is from miRBase by way of RNAcentral.
GACCAGUGCGAGGCCUGUGGG